RNAcentral lists this ribosomal RNA (462 nucleotides) under Triticum aestivum (bread wheat). Its description in RNAcentral is "partial small subunit ribosomal RNA". The record is from RNAcentral. Lineage: Eukaryota; Viridiplantae; Streptophyta; Magnoliopsida; Poales; Poaceae.
AUGAUCCACCCAAAUAAGUUUGCUCAGCUAGCCAAGAAGUUCCAGCGGAUUUUACCUGCCGGAGCCGGUGCCCGCCGCCGGCAGCAUGCCUCAAACACAUCCGACGACGAAUGCUGCAGCACAGCGCCGUCUAUGGUUGCUGAUGAGGGCCACUGUGUGGUGUACACGGACGGAGAACGGUUUGAGGUCCCUUUGGCGUACCUCGGGACGACGGUCUUCACCGAGCUCCUGAGGAUGUCCGAGGAGGAGUUUGGCUUCACCAGCGGCAGCGAUGGAGGCAGGAUCACGCUGCCCUGCGAUGCCAUGGUGAUGGAGUACGUCUUGUGCCUGGUCAGGAGAGAGGCCUCUGAGGAGGUUGAGAGGGCGUUCUUGAGCUCCAUUGAUGGGCACUGCCACAGCUACAAUGCUAGCUGCACGGUGCCAUCAAUGGCACUCAGCCAUAAAUUUGCUCUUUGUACUUAG